AUGUUUUUCAAGAAAUGUUGUUUUUGUCUUAGCACAGGUAAAGUGGUUUUGCAUUUGGAUUAGAUGUGGACAUUUAGAAAUGAAUGAAACUGCUUCACCUGUGCAGGUGUUUUUUUACACACACGCAAACGUUGAUUUUGUUCUCUUACUGUUAAAUUUAAACCGGCUGAACCAGGAGGUCAAAGUGAAGUUGUUUUAACAUACCUAUCUAUUUUGUCAGAGGUAGAAACUGUACAACAUCAGGAGAGGAAAGCUGUUUGUGAAUCGGUUUGAGAACAGAUCAGUUUAAUACUGCGGUCUAGAGACCGAAUGGAUUUAUGAACUGAAUGAUGUUUGUGUUUGAUGUUCAUUGUUGAGACAAAGCACUGCUUAUAAAAUGAGUCUCUGUGAGAAGAGAGAGGAAGAGGAGGAUGUUCACAAACAUAAAGCAGCAGCUCCAGAACCCAGCUGUGUGUCUAUGAAGAGCCGCUGGUCCAUAGGCAUCCCUCCUAAUCUCAGUGCUGCAACGGUGACCUCUGAACCUGAAUUUAGCAUGGACGACGAUGACCAGUACUGCCUAUAAAAUGAGAAAGGAGGAGGUUUCUGUUCAGACAAGUAAUGCAGCAUCUCAAGAACCCAGCUGUGUGUCUAUGAAGAGUGACUGGUCCAUAGGGAUUCCUCCUAAUCUCAGUGCUAGAGCAGUGACCUCUGACCCUGGGUGAGUAUCAGCAUGAGCAUUGUCUUUGCUUCUUCAUGCAAAAGUUUGCUAUUAGGUCAUAAGCUUUUCUUUGAUUAAUAAUU
Cyprinus carpio (common carp) is the source of this 780-nucleotide long non-coding RNA. Lineage: Eukaryota; Metazoa; Chordata; Actinopteri; Cypriniformes; Cyprinidae. The record is from Ensembl.